RNAcentral lists this unclassified non-coding RNA (3158 nucleotides) under Pomacea canaliculata. RNAcentral describes it as "rNA helicase Mov10l1-like, transcript variant X3". The record is from RNAcentral. Lineage: Eukaryota; Metazoa; Mollusca; Gastropoda; Architaenioglossa; Ampullariidae.
GGCGGUCGGAAAGACAGGGAAGAGUGGCGUAUAGUUUAAUUGUUUUGACUUCAAUUGUUCCAGUGGCUUUGUCAUAAGGUCAGAAUGUAGGUUGGGAAUAAUUAAAAGGUUUGCAGUCGGAUAAAUGACUGUAAAUGGCAUACAUAUUUAUGCUGGCGAUGGACUCCAAAACCAUGUACAUGUAAUAGAAAUUACUUUAAGCCAAUGGCGUACUAUCUAGCUGACGGAAGUGCGCGCUCUACAUGUGCGCACCUCGUGGCCGCCAUUUACAAAUGUUUGCCAUCGCAACAGAACAGCUUCUCAGGUUUAAACAUGUACAGUGUUCUUUCCAAAGUUGUUGGACUUCUGUUUAAAAUGGUUAUAGCUGAGGAGAAAACAGAUGAAAACUUAAGCAACAGCUGUGUUAAGGUAGAUCGUCAGAGCAACGAAAGUAAUUUUUCUGGAAACCUCGAUCAAGAUGAUGUAUUACUUACUGCUUUGGUUGACAAAGAGGAGAAAGAUUCAGACUGUCAAAUGACCAUAUUCACAGGAAAAAUCACACAGCUGUUUUGUGAACAUGGGCUUAUCGAUGGUGAAGUUUACUUUUCAGCAGAAUCUGUCGUUGGAAGUAACCCUCUUCAUGUUGGUGAUACAGUCAAUGUUGUUGCUAGACAACAAAAUAAAGAUGGGGGCUGGAUGGCAGAGUCAGUGUCCCUUGUGGUUUCUUCUUGGGAGGAUGAUGAUUUAACAUCUGAAGCUGUGACUGGUGAAGUAGGAAAGGUUACAGAGCUUAAGGAGGAAGAAGGUAUUAUCAACAAGAACAUUAUUUUCACUAUCGGUGAAUGUGUUGAGGGCUACUUGCCACAUGUUGGGGACUGGGUGUCUGUUGAACUAGACACAGCAGACUCUGAUACCAGUGGAGCUCAGGAAGAGAAGGAAGACUUUACCACUCACCUGAAAGAACCUUUAUUUAAUGCCUCAAAAGUGGCUCCUUUAAGGACAUGGUCAUUUAAAGGGUGCGUGUCUGCAUCUUUGCCAGACCAUGGCUACAUUGAUGAAGAGGUUUUUUUCAGGUUAGAUGCUUGCCUUAAUGGAUACAGGCCUCGUAAGUGGGACCGUGUGAAAGUAAUCGCUAUUGAGAGCCAGCAAGGAAAAUGCAGUUGGCGGGCAGUCACUAUUAGUCCUCUGUCAAGUGACUCUGGAGUCUAUAGGUCAAAAUACAUAAAACAGUCUCAAAGCAAAGGAAGAGGAUGGAUCAUUCCUGGUCAAAGACCCCAAAAUCUGUUAAGACCACACAAAAUGACUAUUCCCAACAAACUGCCACAAUACCCAGUGCCAGAAAAACUACGAGAAUGUGUCCUUGAUCAGUUGGAGUUGACUUCCUAUGCACCAUAUCUGGCUGAAAAACUCAGGAGAGAUAACUACAUUGAGAGAAUGAGCACCUUGCUACAUCUGGAGGAGAUUCAGAUGGAGAUUAAUAUUCUCGAGUUUGACCUCUACAGGGUAUGCCUGCAAGCUGCUGGAGAGUUCUUGACACUGCAUGUGCCUGGUCUUGCAGAGGGUCGGCCAUCUUUGUUAAUUGGGGAUUCUGUUAUUCUGUUGAGUCCUGUUGAUCCUGAUGAGCCACAGUAUGAAGGAAUCAUUCAUGAGAUUUACAGUGAUAAAGUUCUGCUGAAGUUUAAUUCAGAGUUCCACUCCUGUUAUAAUGGAGAAGAUUACAAUGUUACAUUCAGAUUCAACAGGGUGUCUCUAAGGCGUUGUCAUCAAGCAUGUCGCUUAGCUGCUACAAUGCUUGGUGAUCAAGUUUUGUUUCCUUCACAAGAAAAGUUAAACCCACCACAAGUUGAGCUUUUCUCCAGUCCACACACAGCAUCCACUCCUUUGAACUCAAAUCACCAUAUUCCACAUAUCAAUCCUGCCAUCCAGGACAAAAUACAGUUUUACAAUUCUCUUUUAAAUGAUCAACAAAAAACAGCUGUGAUUCAGGUUCUGCUUGGACAGUGUCGUCCUCUUCCAUAUAUUAUUUUUGGACCACCAGGAACAGGUAAAACAAUAACUGUGGUUGAGGCAAUUCUUCAGAUUUUUACGCAUAUGCCAAGGAGUCGCAUCAUUGCCUGCACACCUUCAAACAGCGCUGCAGAUCUUUUAGUUGAACGACUUCAUAUGAGUGGAAUUAUCAAGAACUCAGACAUGGUCCGACUCAAUGCUUUUCAAAGAUCCAAUACUGGGAUAUCGGACAUAGUGCUACCAUACUGCUGCACUGGAGAACAACUGGACAUCAUCUCUCACUAUCGCAUCAUUGUUGCCACAUGCAAUACUGCUGGCCUCCUGUGUACUGCUGGACUUAAAACUGGUCACUUCACACAUGUUUUUGUUGAUGAGGCAGGCCAGGCUACGGAGCCUGAAUGCCUCAUUCCUGCUGGAUUGGUUGCUGGUGGUGGUGGACAGAUUGUCCUAGCAGGAGACCCCAAACAGCUAGGACCAGUCCUUUUGUCACCAUUUGCCAAAGUAUAUGGACUAGAACUUUCAUUCUUAGAGCGCCUAAUGGAGCACUUGCCAUAUCAACACAAUGCAGAGCUGUAUGCUGACCAUGGAGGCUACAACCCAUUACUGGUGACAAUGCUGAUUGACAAUUAUCGAUGCCACCCAGCCAUUCUAGCAUUGCCCUCCAAGUUGUUCUACCAUGGUUACUUGCGAGAGUGUGCGUCAGCAGAACUCACAGAUACCCUCAAGGAUUGGUUCAUGUUGCCUAGACCUGGAGUACCAGUUAUCUUCCAUGGCAUAGAGACCAAAGAUAUGCGUGAUGAGGACAGUCCAUCAUGGUUUAACCCUGGAGAAGUUUUACAAGUGAUACAGUACUUGCAAGGUCUCCUAGGAAACAAGGCACCACUUCAUCCAGAUAAUAUUGGCAUCAUUACACCUUACAGAAAGUGGAGAAGAUUCGCUUAUAUAUGGACAUACUUGGCAUUACUCAAGUGAAAGUUGGAUCCGUGGAAGAAUUUCAAGGCCAGGAGAGACAAGCAAUAAUUGUGUCAACAGUGAGAUCGAAUGACCGACUAGUAAAUUCAGAUGUUCGGCAUGUCUUGGGGUUUGUGAGCAACCCAAAGCGCUUUAAUGUGGCCAUCACCCGAGCCCAGGCCUUGUUGAUUGUUGUUGGAAACCCAUAUGUUCUUUCACUG